CAAGAGUCUCGAUCGUCCUCCAACCUUUCAUCUGUCCCAGGAUUAAGAUUUCACCUGAUGACACGCCCAGAAGUGCGGGAAGGACUGGCCAAGUGGAAGUCUACCACGCGAUGCUCGUGGACUGACUGAGGAGUACCCAGCCCGGAGCGCGCUCAGCCUGUGGCCGGCCUCCUCACCAAGGGGUAGGCAGGUGCCCAGAAUGCUGGAGGAUGCCCGGUAAGGGCACCCGAGUCGCCAGCGGUACCUGUCUGAAGGCGCCCACCCAUCCCCGGAAAUUUCCUAUGCACAUACAAGCUUACUGUUGAAGUCCUCUCAUCCAAUGCACUCAGAACGGGACUGUAAGUCCAGCUGCUGUGUAUCAUCACCUCAGCCCGAUUGGUCCUCGGCCACACUUCACUUCAGCUUCUGAUAGGUCCUGGGCCAAGCUAAGCAGCAUCUAUGAAUCAUUUCACCUCCUGACUGGUCCCGGGCCAAGCCGAGUCACGCAUUCGCCAAGACAGCCCCCAGACUAAGCACAUUCCUUCCCCUUCCGUCCAUAAAAACCUGGACCCCAGCCUCAUGAUGGGCACUCCCGUUCGGGACCCCCUCUCUGCUGGCAGAGAGCUUUCUUCUUUCACCUUAUUAAACUUUCAC
Molecule: long non-coding RNA, 633 nt
Filed under: Homo sapiens (human)
Lineage: Eukaryota; Metazoa; Chordata; Mammalia; Primates; Hominidae
Description: non-protein coding lnc-ABCA1-2:2
Source: RNAcentral